AUACCCGCUGAAUUUAAGCAUAUCAGUAAGCGGAGGAAAAGAAACUAACCAGGAUUCUCCCAGUAACGGCGAGUGAACGGAGAUUAGCCCAGCACCGAAGCCCACUGUCAAUUGGCAGCAAGGCAAUGUGGUGUUUAGGCGAGUACCUGGGGUUGCUGAGUUACUCUAAGUCCAUCUAUGAUUCGUGGCACCAACUUGGUCCUUAGCGGGUGGAAGACCCUUACGAGUAACUUUUUCGGUUUGUUAAAGCAGCCUCUAGAUGUGCCCGUCUUGGAGUCGGAUUGCUUGAGAAGGCAGUCCCAAGUAUAGGAGCACCGCUGAAAUUAAUGCAAGGU
This 335-nucleotide ribosomal RNA is filed under the name Sundanonchus behuri. RNAcentral's name for it is "eukaryotic LSU rRNA". It matches the Rfam family "Eukaryotic large subunit ribosomal RNA", at positions 21 to 316 of the family's 3401-position model. The record is from RNAcentral. Lineage: Eukaryota; Metazoa; Platyhelminthes; Monogenea; Dactylogyridea; Sundanonchidae.